UGGGGAAUUUUGGACAAUGGGCGCAAGCCUGAUCCAGCCAUGCCGCGUGCGGGAAGAAGGCCUUCGGGUUGUAAACCGCUUUUGUCAGGGAAGAAAUCUUCUGAGUUAAUACCUCGGGAGGAUGACGGUACCUGAAGAAUAAGCACCGGCUAACUACGUGCCAGCAGCCGCGGUAAUACGUAGGGUGCAAGCGUUAAUCGGAAUUACUGGGCGUAAAGCGUGCGCAGGCGGUUUUGUAAGACAGAGGUGAAAUCCCCGGGCUCAACCUGGGAACUGCCUUUGUGACUGCAAGGCUUGAGUGCGGCAGAGGGGGAUGGAAUUCCGCGUGUAGCAGUGAAAUGCGUAGAUAUGCGGAGGAACACCGAUGGCGAAGGCAAUCCCCUGGGCCUGCACUGACGCUCAUGCACGAAAGCGUGGGGAGCAAAACAGGAUUAGAUACCCUGGUAGUCCACGCCCUAAACGAUGUCAACUGGUUGUUGGGAAGGUUCCUUCUCAGUAACGUAGCUAACGCGUGAAGUUGACCGCCUGGGGAGUACGGCCGCAAGGUUG
This 549-nucleotide ribosomal RNA is filed under the name uncultured bacterium. RNAcentral's name for it is "partial 16S ribosomal RNA". It matches the Rfam family "Bacterial small subunit ribosomal RNA", at positions 355 to 896 of the family's 1533-position model. The record is from RNAcentral.